Long non-coding RNA from Gossypium arboreum, 419 nucleotides. RefSeq lists it as uncharacterized. Lineage: Eukaryota; Viridiplantae; Streptophyta; Magnoliopsida; Malvales; Malvaceae. The record is from RefSeq and is a predicted model, not a curated record. The transcript is spliced from 2 exons.
AGUAGACAGCUUUGAAUGAACUAUAAAUAAUAGUUGAAUUAUAGAGAAUGUUGCAUAUGAACAUGAAAUGUAUUAAAUUGAUAAUUAAAUUUAUUUAUUUAGAUCCAGAAGAUUCAAAUAUGAAGCUAGAUCGAGGAAAGGAAAAAGUUCGGGAUUAAUAGAUUUUUACUGUUUACAAACAAGUAUCAAGUGUUAAGAGCUCGGAGGUCGGAUUUGGUCAGAGACACAUCACACUGUCAACCUCAGGAUUUCGGUAUAUAAAGAAACUUUAUUUUGGAAAUCAAUGGCAUGUAUAAGCUAACAAAGUAAAUGUUAACGUGAAAUGAAUGUAAAGUUAGCCAUUAGUAUGGUUAACAAACCUGGUUAUAGAUAUGUGAUGACGUUAUCUUAUAUAAAUGCAUGAAUCUAUCAUGAAAAUA